GACGAACGCUGGCGGCGUGCUUAACACAUGCAAGUCGAACGGAAAGGCCCUGCUUUUGUGGGGUGCUCGAGUGGCGAACGGGUGAGUAACACGUGAGUAACCUGCCCUUGACUUUGGGAUAACUUCAGGAAACUGGGGCUAAUACCGGAUAGGAGCUCCUGCUGCAUGGUGGGGGUUGGAAAGUUUCGGCGGUUGGGGAUGGACUCGCGGCUUAUCAGCUUGUUGGUGGGGUAGUGGCGUACCAAGGCUUUGACGGGUAGCCGGCCUGAGAGGGUUACCGGCCACAUUGGGACUGAGGUACGGCCCAGACUCCUACGGGAGGCAGCAGUGGGGAAUAUUGCACAAUGGGCGGAAGCCUGAUGCAGCAACGCCGCGUGCGGGAUGACGGCCUUCGGGUUGUAAACCGCUUUCGCCUGUGACGAAGCGUGAGUGACGGUAAUGGGUAAAGAAGCACCGGCUAACUACGUG
Molecule: ribosomal RNA, 468 nt
Filed under: uncultured bacterium
Lineage: Bacteria
Description: partial 16S ribosomal RNA
Rfam family: Bacterial small subunit ribosomal RNA
Source: RNAcentral